Molecule: ribosomal RNA, 251 nt
Filed under: uncultured Chryseobacterium sp.
Lineage: Bacteria; Pseudomonadati; Bacteroidota; Flavobacteriia; Flavobacteriales; Weeksellaceae
Description: partial 16S ribosomal RNA
Rfam family: Bacterial small subunit ribosomal RNA
Source: RNAcentral
UACGGAGGGUGCAAGCGUUAUCCGGAUUUAUUGGGUUUAAAGGGUCCGUAGGCGGAUCCGUAAGUCAGUGGUGAAAUCUCAUAGCUUAACUAUGAAACUGCCAUUGAUACUGCGGGUCUUGAGUGAGAUUGAGGUAGCUGGAAUAAGUAGUGUAGCGGUGAAAUGCAUAGAUAUUACUUAGAACACCAAUUGCGAAGGCAGGUUACCAAGUCUUAACUGACGCUGAUGGACGAAAGCGUGGGGAGCGAACA